This 72-nucleotide transfer RNA is filed under the name Ictidomys tridecemlineatus (thirteen-lined ground squirrel). Its description in RNAcentral is "Spermophilus tridecemlineatus (thirteen-lined ground squirrel) tRNA". It matches the Rfam family "tRNA". From Rfam's summary of the family: Transfer RNA (tRNA) molecules are approximately 80 nucleotides in length. Their secondary structure includes four short double-helical elements and three loops (D, anti-codon, and T loops). Lineage: Eukaryota; Metazoa; Chordata; Mammalia; Rodentia; Sciuridae. RNAcentral also lists the same sequence under 1 other name. The record is from Rfam by way of RNAcentral.
GGAAGUGUAGAUCAUUGGUAGAGCAUGUGCUUAGCAUGCACAGGGCCCUGGGUUCAAUACCCAGCACACACA